RNAcentral lists this ribosomal RNA (497 nucleotides) under uncultured bacterium. RNAcentral's name for it is "partial 16S ribosomal RNA". It matches the Rfam family "Bacterial small subunit ribosomal RNA", at positions 28 to 507 of the family's 1533-position model. The record is from RNAcentral.
GAUGAACGCUGGCGGCGUGCCUAAUACAUGCAAGUCGAGCGGACGGGCGAGAAGCUUGCGGCUCUGAUGUUAGCGGCGGGCGGGUGAGUAACGCGUGGAUAACCUACCUAUCAGACUGGGAAAACUUCGGGAAACCGGAGCUUAUACCGUAUGAGAUUUUGAACCGCAUGGUUCGAAAGUGAGAGACGGUCUUGCGGUAACUACUAGCUGGAUACGCGCUGCAUUAGCUAGUUGUUAAGGUAACAGCCUACCAAGGCAACGAGGCAUGACCGAACUGAGAGGCUGAUAGGCGACAUUGGAGCUGAGACGGGGUCCUGACGCCUACGGGAGGCAGCAGUAGGGAAUGUUCCGCAGCAGUCGAAAGCCUGACGGAGCAACGGCGCGCGAGUUAUGAAGGUCCUCGGAUCGGAAAACUGUGUUACUAGGGAAGAACAUAUGUGGCAGUAACUGUGGCCAUCGUGACGGUACCGAAUCAGAAAGCCACGGCUAACUACGUG